This 425-nucleotide ribosomal RNA is filed under the name uncultured bacterium. Its description in RNAcentral is "bacterial SSU rRNA". It matches the Rfam family "Bacterial small subunit ribosomal RNA", at positions 354 to 796 of the family's 1533-position model. The record is from RNAcentral.
GUCGGGAAUUUUGGGCAAUGGGCGAAAGCCUGACCCAGCAACGCCGCGUGAAGGAUGAAGUCUCUCGGGAUGUAAACUUCGUAAGAAUAGGAAGAAUAAAUGACGGUACUAUUUGUAAGGUCCGGCUAACUACGUGCCAGCAGCCGCGGUAAUACGUAGGGACCAAGCGUUGUUCGGAUUUACUGGGCGUAAAGGGCGCGUAGGCGGCGUGGUAAGUCACUUGUGAAAUCUCCGAGCUUAACUCGGAACGGUCAAGUGAUACUGCUGUGCUAGAGUACAGAAGGGGCAAUCGGAAUUCUUGGUGUAGCGGUGAAAUGCGUAGAUAUCAAGAGGAACACCUGAGGUGAAGACGGGUUGCUGGGCUGAUACUGACGCUGAGGCGCGAAAGCUAGGGUAGCAAACGGGAUUAGAUACCCUUGUAGUCC